Molecule: ribosomal RNA, 304 nt
Filed under: Caryedon longipennis
Lineage: Eukaryota; Metazoa; Arthropoda; Insecta; Coleoptera; Chrysomelidae
Description: partial 12S ribosomal RNA
Source: RNAcentral
ACUAAAUGAUUAAUAGUUAAGUUCUUUAAAAUUAAAAAAUUUGGCGGUAUUUUAGUCUAUUCAGAGGAACCUGUUCUGUAAUUGAUAGUCCACGAUUAUAAAUACUUUAGUUUUUAAUUUGCAUAUCGUUGUAGUUUCGAGUAUUUUAUAAGAAUUUAUAAUAUUCAAUAUGUUAAUAUUAAAAUUUAAAUCAAAUCAAGGUGCAGUUUAUAUUAAAGUAGAAAUGGGUUACAUUUAUUAAAUAAUUUAGGAUGAUUUUUGUUAAAGAAAUCUGAAUGUGGAUUUGAUAGUAAUUUUAUUUAUU